AUCGUCUCUUUCGGAGCCCUUUCAGCGAAUGGCGUCCCGCGGCGCAUUGUGCCGUUGGUGGGCGGAGAUUGAGCGCUGCGCUGCGGGGGAAAGAGGCGCAAAACGAUACGUCAACAUGGGAGAAGUGAUGAUACGAGUUCACAAGUCUUGCGUGCACUCGUCUAGCCAGGCUGCUUAAGCAUGUCCACAGAUGACAGCAUCUCAGAGGACGUGUCUAGCUCCGUGGCACUGAGCCAUGACCCCACAAGCCCCAAUGGCGGGAAGGAGAGCGAGGCCUCCGUGGUCUCCUCCGCGGACACAGUGUCGGGUCUGGCUCUUCCCGAGGAGACGGCUGUGAUAACUCGACCCUCCAGCACACCAGCAUGCACCAUUUCCAGCAGAAUAAGGAGUCUGUGUCUCAGCAGCGCUGAGGAGUUCAGCUCAGGGAGAAGCUUGCCCUUCAUCAACCCCAGUUCUUUAGAGACGCUCCGAGCGUUGGUGCACGAGAUCCAGAGCAGCGAGACGGACCCCGAGAUCUGGAAGAACUGUGAGGGCAGGUGGCUACACCUCUUUCAGCUGGUGGAGAAGCAAUACCAAGAACAAAUUCUUGCACAGCAAGAUCAGUAUCAGUGCCAAAUACAGCUCAUUCAGGACGAGAUCAAAGCAUUAUUGCAGCUACAGAAGCGGCAUUGUGGUGCACAUUCGAACCCCUUGAGCACAGCCAAAACUUUGGAGCCUCCAGCGGACCUGGAGAAUGAAAUCCAAGCUUCUCGCCCGUCAAAGGUCACAGCUAACCCUCAGGAGAGCUCAGAUGAGGGCCUGGUGACUGUUCAGAGCAGCGGCUAUGGCACUCUGUCCACCUGGGAGCCUGGAACAACAUCGGGGAGCUUGGAAGGGAAGGACGAGGUGUCGCACUCCCUUUUGGCUAAAACACAGGGGCAAGACAGUGCACCAAGCAGGACUGUGGCUUCUAAUAAUUCACCUCACACAACUGUGCCAAAUCGUCCUGCUGACCAGCAGAGACUAAACAGUCAACCACUGACCUCCUGGGUCCAGAGGCAGAAACACAGGCAAAGAAAAAGCAAAACGGCACAAAACCGCUCACCGCAGCUGGAGGGGAGAGAAGAGGCCAAAGCAGGUGGCUCUCCUAAGGAACAUAUGGAACAUGUGGAUGAAUUUGGACAUAGUGCAGUCUACUCGAGCCCUGCGGACCUGAAGAGAAGCGACAGCCUUGUGUCGGAAGCCUCGGGUCUGACCUACUGGAAAUUGGAAGAAGGCGAGCUCUACCGCCCUCUACCAGACAGCUUUGAAAGCAGCUCUUUCUUCCUAAUGCAGGAUGUUAAUCUGAGCCAGCAUUCAGAAGAUGAGGCACGCCUGUCUCUGUCUCUCAGAGAGAUCUACCAGAGCAAGCAGAAGGUGGAUCCUAAAGGCCAGGAGUGGGACUCCUUAAUCAACUCUGAUGCAUCUUCGCCUCAGGUGCUGACCCUGGACCCCGGAUCUCACACAAGGCAGUCAGAGCGCACGUCGGGCUUCACGUCUCCCUCGCGCUUCAGCAGUCCCACCUCGCCCAUGUCGCACACCUCACACACCGUUCCCCGAGGUCACAGUGAAGACGAAGGCAGCCGGACAGCCACCAUGACCCUGCAGGCCACGGGCUCGUCGGUGUACGAGCCACGCCCAAAUGGCAGGAAACCAGAGGCUUCGACUUCACUGGACGACCCUGUGGUACUCUCGUUGCUGAGACAGAACCUGAGGGAGAAACACGCACGGCACAUAGCAGACCUCCGAGCAUACUACGAGUCAGAGAUCAGCAUCCUGAAGGAAAAGCUUGAUUUGGUCAAUUUGCCCCUGGACAUGGAGAAAAGCAAUCAGAUCCUGCUAGAACGGUGUGAACACUUGGAGCGGGCUCUUACGGAGGCUAGUAUGUGCAUCAGAGACCUGGAGAACAAGAACCAGCACCUGGAGAGACAGCUAAUGGAGUGGCCUGAGCGUUACGAUGCAGCCAGUUCCACGGUGAAGGCUCUGCAGCAGCGUCUGGAGGAGAGCAAGCAGAGCAGCAGAGAAAAAGACAACACCACGAGCAAGCUGAGGAGCCGCCUGCGCCAGCUGGAGGAGGCUGUACAGAACGCCUGCAAAGAGGUGGAUGAAAAAGAGGCUCGCAUGAAGAAAGAGUACAAGAUGCUGCAGGAUCUGCUUCAAGAGUAUGACUCAUUAAGAAAAGAUCAUGAGGGGGUGAAGGACAAGUUGGUGUCAACUGAAAAUAAACUCUCUGAUGCUAAUGAACAAAUAGCAGAACUGAAGAGGGUCAUUUCCAAACUGGAAGCACAAGUGAAGCAGCUGGAAUAUGAGAACAUGAGUAAAACUCGCCAGGCUUGGCACAGCCACUUGCAGCCUUCAGGAGCUGGCUUGUUCCACCAUCCUGAUCUUCUACUUUCACCAAGCAGAAGGCUUCAUGACCUGGAAUGUGGCUCAAAGAAUCCUGGUGUUUCAGAGAAAGGAGGAAUAGGAAGAUGCCGCCCUUCACCUCCGGAGAGAGAGCAGACACACGAGGAGCCGACAAGGAGAGACGUGUUACUGACCCCCAUGAUGAAGGCUCUGAUUCAGAUGGAGGACACCAAAGCCACAGAGGGGCGGGUUCUGACAAAAACUCACUGCGGCUCUCCCAGUAAGACGCACGUGUUUCACAGAAGCAAGAAACCCACAGUGGCAUUUGUGGACAGUGUAAGAGAGUCUUUACUUGAAAGAGGUGAAGCUGUGCUUCGACCUCAGAGAAGUCUUUCUCCAGAGGGCCAUCGCUCUUCAUCUCUUCCCCCCAGAGCACAAGGAGCAGGUCCUCCAUCCACACCGACGAAGAGAGAAACUCUACUUUUUCCGCUCUCUGCAAAGUCCAGUCCCAAGCGAUGCCCGACAGAGAAUGUAUCCACCGCGUUCGGUCGUCCCAUGCAUUGCCAACAGCACCUGCAUAACAGGUUUGAUUUGCACUUUGAUCAAACUAGUCUCGGCUCAUCGCUGCCAUCUCGGCGCAGCUCAAGGACAAGACUGCAGCUCACGCCAGAAGAGAUGUAAUUGCUGUGGUAUACAAAUUGCUUUGGGACAUGCUGUUAUAGGAAAACAUCACACCACCCCUGUCGUUGAUUAUUCUCCUAUAAACAACAAUAAAACUCGGAGUCACU
This is an RNA transcript of Ictalurus punctatus (channel catfish), 3152 nucleotides long. It is a transcript of the gene named M-phase phosphoprotein 9, with no coding region annotated. The record is from RefSeq and is a predicted model, not a curated record. The transcript is spliced from 23 exons. NCBI's taxonomy places the organism in Eukaryota, Metazoa, Chordata, Actinopteri, Siluriformes, Ictaluridae.